ACGGGGGGGGCAAGCGUUGUUCGGAAUUACUGGGCGUAAAGGGCUCGUAGGCGGCCAACUAAGUCGGACGUGAAAUCCCUCGGCUUAACCGGGGAAUGGCGUCCGAUACUGGAUGGCUCGAGUGUGGGAGAGGUAAGCGGAAUUCCUGGUGUAGCGGUGAAAUGCGUAGAUAUCAGGAGGAACACCGGCGGUGUAGACGGCUUACUGGACCAUAACUGACGCUGAGGCACGAAAGUGUGGGGAGCAAACAGGA
RNAcentral lists this ribosomal RNA (253 nucleotides) under uncultured prokaryote. RNAcentral's name for it is "partial 16S ribosomal RNA". It matches the Rfam family "Bacterial small subunit ribosomal RNA", at positions 525 to 777 of the family's 1533-position model. The record is from RNAcentral.